This 65-nucleotide small nucleolar RNA is filed under the name Brassica napus (rape). RNAcentral's name for it is "Plant small nucleolar RNA R71". It matches the Rfam family "Plant small nucleolar RNA R71", at positions 43 to 107 of the family's 107-position model. Rfam says of the family: R71 is a member of the C/D box family of snoRNAs containing the C (UGAUGA) and D (CUGA) box motifs. Multiple nearly identical copies of this snoRNA have been identified in Arabidopsis, and it is thought to function as a 2'-O-ribose methylation guide for 18S ribosomal RNA. Lineage: Eukaryota; Viridiplantae; Streptophyta; Magnoliopsida; Brassicales; Brassicaceae. The record is from Rfam by way of RNAcentral.
UCCCAGGCUUCACUGAAGCCUUCCAAGUUCUUCUGUUGAAAGCUGGAAAUCUCAUUUCUCAGCUU